Small nucleolar RNA from Camellia sinensis, 78 nucleotides. RefSeq annotates it as small nucleolar RNA SNORD18. The record is from RefSeq and is a predicted model, not a curated record. Lineage: Eukaryota; Viridiplantae; Streptophyta; Magnoliopsida; Ericales; Theaceae.
GAGAUGUGAUGAGUUUAUCUAUUGGUCCGUGUUUCUGAUUUAACCGUGACCGACAAACCUUAACCAAACUCUGAUCUC